This 767-nucleotide ribosomal RNA is filed under the name Escherichia coli. RNAcentral describes it as "partial 23S ribosomal RNA". It matches the Rfam family "Bacterial large subunit ribosomal RNA", at positions 614 to 1380 of the family's 2925-position model. The record is from RNAcentral. Lineage: Bacteria; Pseudomonadati; Pseudomonadota; Gammaproteobacteria; Enterobacterales; Enterobacteriaceae.
AAUGGGUCAGCGACUUAUAUUCUGUAGCAAGGUUAACCGAAUAGGGGAGCCGAAGGGAAACCGAGUCUUAACUGGGCGUUAAGUUGCAGGGUAUAGACCCGAAACCCGGUGAUCUAGCCAUGGGCAGGUUGAAGGUUGGGUAACACUAACUGGAGGACCGAACCGACUAAUGUUGAAAAAUUAGCGGAUGACUUGUGGCUGGGGGUGAAAGGCCAAUCAAACCGGGAGAUAGCUGGUUCUCCCCGAAAGCUAUUUAGGUAGCGCCUCGUGAAUUCAUCUCCGGGGGUAGAGCACUGUUUCGGCAAGGGGGUCAUCCCGACUUACCAACCCGAUGCAAACUGCGAAUACCGGAGAAUGUUAUCACGGGAGACACACGGCGGGUGCUAACGUCCGUCGUGAAGAGGGAAACAACCCAGACCGCCAGCUAAGGUCCCAAAGUCAUGGUUAAGUGGGAAACGAUGUGGGAAGGCCCAGACAGCCAGGAUGUUGGCUUAGAAGCAGCCAUCAUUUAAAGAAAGCGUAAUAGCUCACUGGUCGAGUCGGCCUGCGCGGAAGAUGUAACGGGGCUAAACCAUGCACCGAAGCUGCGGCAGCGACGCUGAUGCGUUGUUGGGUAGGGGAGCGUUCUGUAAGCCUGUGAAGGUGUGCUGUGAGGCAUGCUGGAGGUAUCAGAAGUGCGAAUGCUGACAUAAGUAACGAUAAAGCGGGUGAAAAGCCCGCUCGCCGGAAGACCAAGGGUUCCUGUCCAACGUUAAUCGGGGCAGGGU